CCUACAUCGGAUCAAAAUUUGAUCAAAACCAACUGAUUUGGUCUGAUUCAAAGCAAAAACCCAUUUUUUCCCUUUUAAAAUAAGAAAAAAAAUUUAAAAUAGAAACCAGGUCAAACUACGACCGAAAUAGAUCGAACCAGAACUAGGGAACAAUCUGGUCUGAUCCUGGGUCCAUGAACCUUUGAACUGGAGCCAACAAUUUCAGCCCAAAACCAAACCGGAGGCCAGAGGGAAACAAAUACUUUAGAAACCCAUACAACAGUAGAAGACAAGCAAAAAAGGUAUUAUUGAUUGGGUAAACCACAAGAAGCCCAAAUGAAAAUGGUAUUAUCCUCCCUAAUUUUAAGCUCAACAAAAAUAAAUUGGAUGAAGAUGAAUUCCUACAUGACAACAUGCUGAAAACCAAAAAUUGACUAAAGAAUGAAAUCCAAGCCAUUUUCUUCGUGCGACCAUAGCAGCCCUACUGAAAGAGGGUUCUUGUCAAGUGUUCGCGUGCUGUAGCCAGUGCUUGGCUUAUUGUCUACGAUAUUAGGAAAGAAACUUGAAGAUUAGGCAAAUAAAUCAAGAGGGUAAACUACAUGAGCACAACAAUUUGCCUAGCAAUGUGUGAUCUAUAAAAAUAAAGGAGUUCUUGAGCAUGUGAAAGUGGUUUCUGCUAUCCAUCACAUUUUCAAGGAUUUAAUAAUUUUCAUUUCAACAUUUCUUAUAAUUCACAUGGAAAGAAAUUAACAUUUAUGUUACAUUUGGUAGACUGUAACGUAGACCCGGCCACGGGCAGGUUCGAAUUGUGAACUAGACUGAUCAAUGUUUCCAGCUCAUGAACUGGCCUGGAACCGGGGUAUAGAAGGCCGGUUACGAUCCUCCACCAUUUUGAACUAGAAUCUGCCAGAUUCAAAAAAUUGUUUUUUUUUUUUAAUUUAUAUUGGAUUUAUAUUUGUGCCUCUUUAAUUAUUUUACAUAAGAAGCUAACUAAAUAAAGUUCAAAAAUUUAUAAUAAUUUGGUAAUAUACCAUAGGCAAAACCAUAACCGAACAGAAACCACUUCGAACCAAAACUGGUCAAGUAUAAACCAUUAGGGCAGCCAAACUAAUGGUUCCAGCCCAAAACGGGACCAGAACCAGCCGAUGGCCAAAUCUACCGUAAUGCAAUUGAUUUUUCUAUUAAGAUUCGAUAAAAAAUUUGAUUGCACUACAUUGCAUUACGGUCUACCAAAUAUAACUUUACUUUAUUAUUUAGUGCCGAAAAAACAAAAGAAAGAAGUUAAACCUGCUCAGACAAAGGUGCACCAGGAUCCAUGCUAUUUAUUGCCACCUUUCCUGCAAUAACAUUGGCAUCUGUUUCAAGUAUCAUCCUGCCAAAACAAAUGAAAAACACGUUAAAAGCUUCUCGAUCAUUAGUAAAGAACUGAACAGCACCAACAGUGAGCAGAUGAGAGAAACAAGCUCAAAACUCUAUCAGUCUUCUAUACAAUAGCCCUUAGAAAAAGAUAAAAUUAAUGGAUUCAGAUUUCACUAAAAGUCCACAUUUUGGAUCAUUUACCCAAAAUCUUCAAAAUGAAUCAUGGUAUGGGAUUGUUUCCAUAAGAAAGAUAAUUUUUCCUAUACUGCAAUCUCUACAUGUGAGAGUGAGGUUAUGAAAAGAUACAUAACUAAAAAGAUCUGUCAGUUCUAAUGCUCAAAUGUGUUACAAUCUAAAGAAAUUAAACUAUAAAAAUCUCUAUUAUUAGACUAAGCCAAUUGCUCUUCAGGUGUUAGCCAUAGACAUUUCUAACACUGCUCAUACUUUUAAUCUUGCCCCAAGAAAAGAGAUGAAAUUGCAAUGAGUUUAUGCCCUGUUAAAUAAUGAUACAAUGCCACACUUUUAACGUUGACUUUUGACUGUUCACUGUCCACUCUAAUAGCUGAGGAGAACAAAGGUAAACUGAUCAGAAAGGAACCUAAAAUUAAUGACCUACCAAAAAUGAGAAAAGGUAAGAAGAAAAUUAUUGCCAUACCGUUGACUCAAAGAGGAAUGUCAGAACAGAGAUAAAUAAACCAUUAGCUCAACUUCACUGAACAAGCUACAAUUACCAAUAAGGCACACAUCCUUAACAGGAACGAUUAAAGGCAGCACAAGUACUACGGAUAGAAACCUCCACAAUUUCUUUAGUUGAAAAUUUUCCCUUAUUAUAUUAGGUGUAUCAUGUCAUUCAUUUCAAUUCCAAAUAAAAUAAACAAUUGCACAGCAAAUAUACCAAGAACAAAAACUCAAAUGAGUGCAAAAAGUGUUAAUUAAACUGUGAAAUAUAUAAAUUAAGAAGCAAACCCAUACCCUUUUUCAACGAUCUCAUCAAGACACAAAAAGAUGAGAUCUAAGUUCUCAAGAGCCUACCUUUUGUCAACAGUACUCCUCAAGAGAAGAGAAACUGAAUCAAAGAAACCUCGAAGGACAGAAGCUAAGAUGAGUUCAUUUUCAUCAUCACCUCCAGUCACAAAGAAUUGUAGGUCUUGAAUAAAUUUACAGAUGAUAAUGUAGUUGUCGAACAUUGUGAUCUCCGCUGCAUACAGGAACAUAUUAGGAAUGCAGGUUUCUUGGUAUCUUAUAACCUCAAUGCCAGGUUAAGCAGAAUCUCAGAGGUCCAUGAUCAACUUUUCUAGUUUUACUAUAAUAGUGAUGGCUGAGGGAACACAAACACUUAUGUAAUAAUGCAAAUAUGUUAUAAUCCUUUGUGACCCUUCUGAUACCUAAUUAGCUAUGCUUUCACAUUCCAAGAAUACCCAACUAUUAAUUUCAAAGUAAGUUGUACAUGAAUGGACUGUUACCAAUGAUAUAAAACAAUAUAUGAAAAUUUAUCUCAUUCAAAGCAGCUUGGUAAAUUGCUACUUGACCAAAGUUUUCUAUAUCCAAAAUUAUGAAACCAAUAACUAAGAUUCUCCACCAGCCAAUAAUUCGUUGGCAAUAAGCAUUUGGAAAUACAUUAGUAAUUCUUGUGGGGUGCGUGUAUGUGUGCGCGCGCGCACGAGCGUGUGUGUAUACGUGUUCCUCAUGUGGAUUGAGUCAAUUUAGAGCAGGCAUAUGAACUUCAGAUUUAAUUGAAUUGGAUAUUGAGAUUUAGCUAAUCAAAUGAAAUAUUGUGUUUAAAGCUUAGCAUUUCAUCACCAAGCAUGAAUAAUUAAGAAUUCACCUAUCAGUUACUGAACUUGGUAUAGUAAUAAAAAAAAAUAUGCAACCGUUUCAUGCUCUGGUGGUACACAAGAAGAUAUUUUUCUUACUAACAUCAUUAGCAAAGGACUUUACAUUUUGUUAAUAGUAAAACUAAUAAUUUUCUUUUGUAACAUCCAGCUCAGAAUCUUGUUGGGCAGGAAUUUAAUGAAAGCUUUGUUACUGCAUAAUUUUGAUAUAAUCCAUUAAUAACCAAUUAACCAUGAUCCACAAAGUGGUGGGUGCACUCUAAUCUAUAGUAAUUUAUACAAAUUAUGAAGAAAACCUUCUGUCCGGGCAUUUGACUUCAUAGUCUUGGUAAACAGUGAUUUUCAAAAGCUAACUUUGCAUUAUUAGUUGGCCAGUCAUCAGAGUAGUAUUUGACAGCCACACGUUUCCCUUCAGAGUCUAGCAGAAGAAUGUUCUUUACCAUGGGGCAAGCAUCCUGCAAAAUAAAAAUUAAACAUUCGUCAUUCAUGUCCAGAAGGCAAAUGUGGAUCUCUAAUCUCAUAGGAGCUAUAACUAAGAGAGACAGAGAACAUGAAAAAAACCAUUCAUAAACAAAUUACAAAAACCAGAACGAGUAAUCCCCUCCAACUCCUUGGCAUCCACCAAAUAGAUACAUAUAUUAUACAAUGAACCACUGAAACUAGAUAAACUCAACAUAAUCAGCUCUUGCCUAAGAUCCAUCCAGUUCCACAGUCAUCUAAUCUACAAGGUUACAUGAUCUUAAAUUGGAGCUAAAUCCUACGGUACUAAUUGCAACCAUGCAAAGUUCAAAGUUAAACUAAAUUUCCACAAAUCAUGCCUCCACCUCCAGAGUCCAGAUCCAACAAAGUAUGCAAAACUAUACUUUUCUCCUACGGUUGGAUUGAAAUUACACUUGGUGCAUAAUAAAAAAAAGCCUAAUAAAUAACAAAAGAGAUCCAGUAAAAAAGACAAGAAAUGCGCAAAAUAACGAGAAACGUUGUAACUUUACUUUCUGUCUCCAAAAUUUUCUUA
This 4182-nucleotide unclassified non-coding RNA is filed under the name Hevea brasiliensis (rubber tree). Lineage: Eukaryota; Viridiplantae; Streptophyta; Magnoliopsida; Malpighiales; Euphorbiaceae. The record is from RNAcentral.